Molecule: long non-coding RNA, 374 nt
Organism: Musca domestica (house fly)
Lineage: Eukaryota; Metazoa; Arthropoda; Insecta; Diptera; Muscidae
Exons: 2
Source: RefSeq, a predicted model, not a curated record
UUCAUUUACCUUGCUGCUGUUGUUGUUGUUUCUGCUGCUUUUGCUGUUGAUUUUGUUGGUGCCGCUGAUGAUCUUUUUUGGCCAAACAAACCGCGAAGAAGACACUCAAUACAUAAACGAUCCGUGGACAAACGUUCGAUGAAAUUGUGCUAUGUUUACGUUUUCGAGCCCAAAAGUCAACUGAUGAUUUGAACGCUUUGUCUGAGCCAUAUAAAACCCCUGCCGCCACAAUGGCCAAUCGAAGAGAAAAGCGCUGGAGAGUGGUUGGUUGGUUUGGGGGGUUGCAGCGUAGAUCAACGUAGAAAGACGUAGCAACCAGAAAAAAAAAAAAACAAAAACAUGAAACAAUUGUGUAAUUGUGGCCAGAAGAGAAA